This 497-nucleotide ribosomal RNA is filed under the name uncultured bacterium. RNAcentral describes it as "partial 16S ribosomal RNA". It matches the Rfam family "Bacterial small subunit ribosomal RNA", at positions 28 to 507 of the family's 1533-position model. The record is from RNAcentral.
GAUGAACGCUGGCGGCGUGCCUAAUACAUGCAAGUCGAGCGAACAGACGAGGAGCUUGCUCCUCUGACGUUAGCGGCGGACGGGUGAGUAACACGUGGAUAACCUACCUAUAAGACUGGGCUAACUUCGGGAAACCGGAGCUAAUACCGGAUAAUAUAUUGAAUGGCAUGGUUCAAUAGUGAAAGACGGUUUUGCUGUCACUUAUAGAUUGAUCCGCGCCGCCUUAGCUAGUUGGUAAGGUAACGGCUUACCAAGGCAACGAUGCGAAGCCGCCCCAAGAGGGUGAUCGGCAACACUGGAACUGAGACACGCGCCAGACUCCUACGUGAGGCAGCAGUAGGGAAUCUUCCGCAAUGGGCGAAAGCUUGUCGGAGCAACGCCGCGUGAGUGAGGAAGGUCUUCGGAGCGUAAAACUCUGUUAUUAGGGAAGAACAAAUGUGUAAGUAACGAUGCACGUCUUGACGGUACCUAAUCAGAAAGCCACGGCUAACUACGUG